AUAGCGUAUAUUAAAGUUGUUGUGGUUAAAAAGCUCGUAGUUGGAUCUCAGCCCACGUCCUGACGGUCCACAAUGCGUGGUUACUGUCAGGCUGGGCACUCUACUGCCUCUGUCCUGUGGUGCUCUUUACCGAGUGUCACAGGCGGUCAGUACGUUUACUUUGAAAAAAUUAGAGUGCUCAAAGCAGGCAUCUUCGCCUGAAUACUGUUGCAUGGAAUAAUGAAAUAGGACUUUGGUUCUAUUUUGUUGGUCUUCGGAACCAAGGUAAUGAUUAAGAGGGACAGACGGGGGCAUUAGUAUUGCGACGCUAGAGGUGAAAUUCUUGGACCGUCGCAAGACUAA
This 342-nucleotide ribosomal RNA is filed under the name Naiadacarus arboricola. RNAcentral's name for it is "SSU rRNA". It matches the Rfam family "Eukaryotic small subunit ribosomal RNA", at positions 594 to 939 of the family's 1831-position model. Lineage: Eukaryota; Metazoa; Arthropoda; Arachnida; Sarcoptiformes; Acaridae. The record is from RNAcentral.